CAUCAUUCUAAAAAUAUUAAGUUCUGGUGUUAAUCGCAAGCAAAUAAGGGUAAGACACAUACCAUUUAUAUGUCAUUAAACUUUAUCACAAUUUCUAUGUUAUUCUAUUUUACCUCUGGUACUACAUUGUGAUCUUUCAAGGAAUUACUGCUUCCUUUCUGCCCCUGGUUUUCUUUUUCUAGGAUAUUGUAGCCUCACUAGGAUGGAUUAAGAGUGUCAUCUGCUCCCUUUCCCUAAUCAAAUAGGACUUCCAAACUAAUGAUACUUGCACUCCUUUUUAUCUGUUGAUCUCUUUAAUUCUGAUUACAACUUAUGUUUCACAAAUAUAUGCAGGUUUCUACUCUUUUUCAGUGGUCCUUAGUUGAUCUCUUUGAUUUUUGAUUACAGACUGUCUCUCUGAUUGUAAGUGAUUAUGGUGUUGUUUGUAGUUGGCACUUCUCAUUUCAGAAAUCAGCUAUCCUGGUAUUCAACCAUGUGAGUUUAGAGAGAACAACCAAAGGAGGAACAAGCUCAAGACAUGUUUAGCAGCUUCUGCUAAGUAAGUAUCCUUAGAACCUUCAACUCCAAAUAAAACAAAAAUUCAAGAGUAUGUUCUUCACAUAUGAAAUAGAUAGAUGCUGGCAUGCUUGCUGCAUCUGAUGAGAUUGUGGAUCAAGAAGUUAAUGGACAUGCUUGUGAAUCAUGGACAAUCUCGGCCUGGUAUUGUGGCUCGAGUCUGAGCUCUUGCUUGGCUUUAGGUGCAAACAUGGACCUUCAGUUCACCUAGAACAAGAAUCAAAUCCUUGUGUCAAUUGCUGUUGUGAUAGGAGGCCCAUUGCGUAUGACCAUGAUGUAUGCAUUCACUCUGGGAUCUGAGAAUAAUUUGUUGAUCCUGUCUGAAAGAUAGUGGUUCGAUAGUGAAUUUAUCCACUUAUUUGUUGAUUUUUUUUUCUUUUGUUGUGUUAUGUAUGGAGAUGCAGAUUCUCAGGCUUCAGGUUUUAGUUUUGGUAGUUCGAGUGCUAUUGGUUAUGUUGUUGUAACUGGUCCUUGAUCAGCAUGGUGACUGAAGGGAUGACUCUUGAAAAUUAAGAUCCUUAUUAUGAGAUUGAGG
This 1090-nucleotide long non-coding RNA is filed under the name Triticum aestivum (bread wheat). Its description in RNAcentral is "long non-coding RNA (TAES_LNC028084)". Lineage: Eukaryota; Viridiplantae; Streptophyta; Magnoliopsida; Poales; Poaceae. The record is from RNAcentral.